ACAGCAGCCGCCGCGGUAAUACGGAGGGAGCUAGCGUUGUUCGGAAUUACUGGGCGUAAAGCGCGCGUAGGCGGUUACUCAAGUCAGAGGUGAAAGCCCGGGGCUCAACCCCGGAACUGCCUUUGAAACUAGGUGACUAGAAUCUUGGAGAGGUCAGUGGAAUUCCGAGUGUAGAGGUGAAAUUCGUAGAUAUUCGGAAGAACACCAGUGGCGAAGGCGACUGACUGGACAAGUAUUGACGCUGAGGUGCGAAAGCGUGGGGAGCAAACAGGAUUAGAUACCCGGGUAGUCCCUGUCUCUUAUAC
RNAcentral lists this ribosomal RNA (305 nucleotides) under uncultured bacterium. RNAcentral's name for it is "partial 16S ribosomal RNA". It matches the Rfam family "Bacterial small subunit ribosomal RNA", at positions 508 to 807 of the family's 1533-position model. The record is from RNAcentral.